RNAcentral lists this ribosomal RNA (158 nucleotides) under uncultured Sphingomonas sp. Its description in RNAcentral is "partial 16S ribosomal RNA". It matches the Rfam family "Bacterial small subunit ribosomal RNA", at positions 332 to 507 of the family's 1533-position model. Lineage: Bacteria; Pseudomonadati; Pseudomonadota; Alphaproteobacteria; Sphingomonadales; Sphingomonadaceae. The record is from RNAcentral.
AGUGAUCCUACGGGAGGCAGCAGUAGGGAAUAUUGGACAAUGGGGGCAACCCUGAUCCAGCAAUGCCGCGUGAGUGAUGAAGGCCUUAGGGUUGUAAAGCUCUUUUACCCGGGAUGAUAAUGACAGUACCGGGAGAAUAAGCACCGGCUAACUCCGUG